Molecule: ribosomal RNA, 397 nt
Filed under: uncultured bacterium
Lineage: Bacteria
Description: partial 16S ribosomal RNA
Rfam family: Bacterial small subunit ribosomal RNA
Source: RNAcentral
AUACGUAGGUGACAAGCGUUAUCCGGAUUUACUGGGUGUAAAGGGCGUGUAGGCGGUUUAGCAAGUCAGAAGUGAAAUUCCCGGGCUUAACUUGGGCGCCGCUUCUGAAACUGCUUUACUUGAGUGCUGGAGAGGAUAGUGGAAUUCCUAGUGUAGCGGUCAAAUGCGCACAUAUUAGGAGGAACACCGGUGGCGAAGGCGGAUAUCUAGACAAUAACAGGAAUUGAGGCGCGACAUCACGGAGUGAAAACAGGCUGAGAUACCCUGGUGCUACGUGCCAUACACGAUGAAUACAAGGUGUAGGGGGUAUCGCCGCUACCUGCGCCGCAGGUAACACAUUAAGGAUACACCCUGGGGCGUUCCGCCGUAAGGCGGAAGCUCAAAUGGAUUGAGGGGG